AUUGAACGCUGGCGGCAGGCCUAACACAUGCAAGUCGAACGGUAACAGGAAGAAGCUUGCUUCUUUGCUGACGAGUGGCGGACGGGUGAGUAAUGUCUGGGAAACUACCUGAUGGAGGGGGAUAACUACUGGAAACGGUAGCUAAUACCGCAUAACGUCGCAAGACCAAAAAGGGGGACCUUCGGGCCUCUUGCCAUCGGAUGUGCCCAGAUGGGAUUAGCUAGUAGGUGGGGUAACGGCUCACCUAGGCGACGAUCCCUAGCUGGUCUGAGAGGAUGACCAGCCACACUGGAACUGAGACACGGUCCAGACUCCUACGGGAGGCAGCAGUGGGGAAUAUUGCACAAUGGGCGCAAGCCUGAUGCAGCCAUGCCGCGUGUAUGAAGAAGGCCUUCGGGUUGUAAAGUACUUUCAGCGGGGAGGAAGGGAGUAAAGUUAAUACCUUUGCUCAUUGACGUUACCCGCAGAAGAAGCACCGGCUAACUCCGUG
Molecule: ribosomal RNA, 490 nt
Filed under: uncultured bacterium
Lineage: Bacteria
Description: partial 16S ribosomal RNA
Rfam family: Bacterial small subunit ribosomal RNA
Source: RNAcentral